Non-coding RNA from Schistosoma rodhaini, 46 nucleotides. The record is from Rfam. NCBI's taxonomy places the organism in Eukaryota, Metazoa, Platyhelminthes, Trematoda, Strigeidida, Schistosomatidae.
UCACUAUUGAGGAGUCCCACAAUAAGACGAAACGUCCGUCCAGUAA